This 253-nucleotide ribosomal RNA is filed under the name uncultured bacterium. RNAcentral's name for it is "partial 16S ribosomal RNA". It matches the Rfam family "Bacterial small subunit ribosomal RNA", at positions 524 to 776 of the family's 1533-position model. The record is from RNAcentral.
UACGGAGGGGACUAGCGUUGUUCGAAAUUACUGGGCGUAAAGCGCACGUAGGCGGAUUUGUAAGUCAGGGGUGAAAUCCCGAGGCUCAACCUCGGAACUGCCUUUGAUACUGCAAAUCUCGAGUCCGGAAGAGGUGAGUGGAAUUCCUAGUGUAGAGGUGAAAUUCGUAGAUAUUCGCAAGAACACCAGUGGCGAAGGCGGCUCACUGGUCCGGUUCUGACGCUGAGGCGCGAAAGCGUGGGGAGCAAACAGG